Molecule: RNA transcript, 634 nt
Organism: Carlito syrichta (Philippine tarsier)
Lineage: Eukaryota; Metazoa; Chordata; Mammalia; Primates; Tarsiidae
Gene name: histone deacetylase complex subunit SAP18 pseudogene
Exons: 1
Source: RefSeq, a predicted model, not a curated record
AUGGCACUGGAGUCGCGUAUCACCCGGGAGGCGAUCAAGAAGGAGCUGCAGAAGCCGGUCGACCGUGAGAAGACGUGCCCGUUGCUGCUGCGAGUCUUCACCACCACCGACCGACGCCACCACCGUAUGGACGAGUUCUCCCGCGGAAACGUGCCGUCCAGCAAGCUGCAGGUCUACACCUGGAUGGAUGCGACCUUGAAAGAACUGAGUAGUUUAGUGAAAGAAGUCUACCCAGAAGCUAGAAAGAAGGGCACACACUUCAAUUUUGCCAUCGUUUUCACAGAUGUUAAAAGACCUGGCUACCGAAUUAAGGAGAUUGGCAGCACCUUGUCUGGCAGAAAGGGGUCUGAUGACGCCAUCACCCUGCAGUCCCAGAAGUCUCAAAUAGAUUAUUUGGACAUAGCUAUUACCCCUCCAAACUGGGCACCACAUCCCCUGGGGCGCAUAGGACCAUAUUAAAUUAUAUUUACUAUUUCUUGAAUUUAUUUUUUGGUCAGUGAUGUGAAAUAAACUUACGUAACCUCCCCGUUAUUGCCAUUAAGCCUUUAAAUUCUAAGCAAAUUAUAAUGCAUCUAUUUAGGCAUUAGCCUUGGAUGUGCUGUGGUGUGAUCACUAAUAGAAAGUCUGUAUGUUU